This 3581-nucleotide long non-coding RNA is filed under the name Sus scrofa (pig). Its description in RNAcentral is "lncRNA (ENSSSCG00060040138.1)". The record is from RNAcentral. Lineage: Eukaryota; Metazoa; Chordata; Mammalia; Artiodactyla; Suidae.
AAUAAUAAAAACUACAUUAUGUUUCCUAACAAAGAAUAAAAACGUUCACUUACUAAAAAUUUCUCCUUCAAAAAAAUCAAUUAAUUCUGAUCAACAUGCAUUCUAGUGCAUGUUGACACUCUAUGCUCCUGAUGCCUAUUAAACUUUUGUUGAUCCUGUCUACCUAACAGAUCCUGCAUUGCUGUGGCUGUGGCAUAGGCUUUGAUUCAAUGCCUAGCCUGGGAACUUUCACAUGCCAUGGUUGCAGCCCUGAAAAGCAAAAAAGCAAAAACAAAACAAAACGAAACCUUAGUGCAUUCACUAUAAUCCACAGGUUUGGAUGUUGUAAGAUGACUUAUCAGAUAAGAAUCUGAAUAUCAAAUGAUAUAAGAAGCAUCAAGGAAGUAUACUACCUUUGCCUUUCACUUUAUUUACAGCAUUUCAUGCUUCUAGGGAAAAGAGUACUUAUUAGCUACAAAGCUGUUGAAAUAGGAAAUGGGACACAGUAAGUGCUACAUAGUUACUCAAUGUUGUUGCUGUUUGUAUUAUUUCUAUUGCCAUAGGCUUUCUGGGUCAAAUUAAACAGAAACAAAGAAAAUUAAUAAGGUAUACAUAAAAUAUAAAUUGUAAAGUCAUGAAAGAUAUAAAAUUCCUCCCAUAUAAAAAUUAUCUUCUCUAAUAUUUGACUACCUUUAUUUGAAUAAAGUAAUAAAGUGGCUACUGCUUAUAAGCAUCUUAUUGAUUAGCUAACAUUUUAUCCAAUAAAUGAUAACCUCUACAAAAAUAAAUACAUACAAAAAAGGAAAGAAAUAUAUCUCUUCUCUUAUAGUGAUUUUUGGCCAGUGUGAUUUUAUUGAAGGACAUUCCACUGUCUCAGGUUUCUUAUCUAAACCAUAUAAAUUUGCAAAAUUAUUAAAAUGGGACUGAUUCAUAAAACAAACUCUAAGCUUCAUUUAUCACUUUCAGGAUAUUCUCCCAUGCUUUUUUGAUUAAUACUUUUAUUAGAGGCAUUCAAUACAGAUAAUGCAAAAUUAAAUGGAUUUUGCCAGAAUACAUUAUAGCCAUUAAAAUAAAUCAGACUAUUAAAUGGAGGGAAAAAGUAAAAUCCGAAAAAGAAAUAAAAUUCCAUAUAACUUAUGACAGAGUCAAUUAAUCACACAACUGCAGUUCAAGACCUUUCCUAUAGAAAGAAAGGAAUAAAGGUUCAUUUAAUACUUCAUCAUUAUUGUCACAUUCUCUAAAGAAAAGUCCAUGAGCCAAGCACUAUUCCGUGUCGGACAUGAAGACAAAAUUUUCUUUGUUUUUUCUAACUACUCUUGACUCAAUUACCCCAUGUAGCACUUGCCAGAGACAAUAUGAAAUAAGUGAGAACCAACCCAAAAUUCUACAUUUCAAAAACUGUAUGAAAUAAGCCAUUUGGGAAGAGCUCUUCUCUUUUGUCAUUCUGUCUUCAUUUCUAUGUUGUGCUUCUGAAAACUUUUCUCUAGUGUUCCAUUUCAAAAAAUUGCCUUCAAUUUCCAAUUACUUUAAUAACAAGAUAGAACAUUUACUUGACUUUAAUUAUUGAACUCCACAAGAUUUUUGUCCUUUAAGAUUUCCUCUUAAAUAAUAAAAAAGAUGACAAGAUGAGCACUUUUUUACAAGUAUAAUAGUGCAUUCAAUAUGAAUUCAUAGAAUUGUAAUUAAGUUCAUUUUUACCAAAUACCAAAUGUCUGCCUAUGAAGACUUUUUAAUAUUGUCUAUAUUUUAUGCCAUUUCUGAAAUUUAUUAUUUAUUGAUUUAGUAGAUUUUAGUUGUCAGUUAUAGUUUAGUGAAUUUAAGACAUAAUUGAAAAACUUUUUCUCUGAUAUUGCUCAAUGACAAGUUUAAUCAAUCAAAAAGUUCUACUUCUGACUAUAUGAUUAGAGACUAUUAAGUUUGAAUAGGACAAAAAAUACAUUCCUACACUUACAGAACUUUUAGGAUUGUUGAAACACAAAAGUAAUAUAUAAGAGAUAUACGGAAAUGACAAAUUUUCUGAGAAUUUUGUUGCAGUAGGCAUUAAGGACUAAGAAGAGGAAGGAGGAAGAGGAGGGGGAGGGGAGCUGGAUUUUGACAGACAAGAUACAAGAGGAAACUUUUAGGGCAGUUUCAAAAUUCCAAGAAGAUAAAACUUGAUCCCUAGAAGAAAUACUGAAGGAAAGGGGUGUGUUCGGGAAGAAGAAUGAGUGCUUUAAGUCAGGAACAGUAUAUGCAAUGAGAUAGAGGUAGGCAAACUAAAUAGAAAUAUUCAAGUGCUUAUUACUAAAUAGAUAUCAACUGCCUUUUACUGAAAACUACCUCAUGCAGACAUAGCCUCUGGGAAGCAGCAUAUGUAAUGCUUAAAGAGACAGAUAAUAUUUUCAGAAAUUUGAACUCCUCACAUGAUUCUGUUACUUACCAUGUGUGUUAAAUCAGGCAAGUGAUAAAUCCUUUAAGGAUCAGCCCUUGAAGAAUUGAUACUUGUCUCCAUGUCCCACCUUCCACUUCCUGUAUAGCCCAGUGAUCUCAACAUUUUCAUCCAUGGAAUUUCCAAUGCAUUAGUUUCUCCACAGUCUUUCUUCUUUAACCUGAACUGCUUCAAAAAUCCUAUCUUCCACCUUAUGCACCUACUCCCAUAACUGUAUCUUUGAAUUUAGGAUUAAGACUAUAGUAGUUGUUUUCCCUAAACUCACAAAAUAAGAAAAAUGUAAGCAAAAUGAAGACAUUCAGGAACUAUUCCCAGUUAAAAGAACAGGAGAAUUCCCCUGAAGAAGCAAACAAUGAAACAGAACUCUUCAAUCUAACAGAUACUAAGUUCAAAAAGGAGACAGAUGAUUGGAUUAGCAAGAUGUGGUGUAUAUAUAGACAAUGGAAUACUACUCAGCCAUAAAAAGAAUGAAAUAAUGCCAUUUGCAGCAACAUGGAUGGAACUAGAGAUUCUCAUGCUGAGUGAAGUAAGUCAGAAAGAGAAAGCCAAAUAUCAUAUAAUAUCACUUACAUCUGGAAUGUAAUAUACAGGACAAAUGAACCUUUCCCAUGCUGUACAGAAGAAAAAAAACUGUAUUGGGGAAAUAACAAUUAAAAAAAAGGAGAUAGUGAAAAUACUUAAGAGAUUAAGAGUGAAUAUGAAUCAAGAGUAGAUAUGAAUGCUAACAGAUUAUUUUAGAAAGGAUUAGAAAAUAUAAGGAGCAGCCAAAAAAACAGAAAAUUAAUUUUCAGAGAUAAACCUGAGUUAAAGAUACUGAGGAGUGGAAUGAAUAAGUGACUUGGAAAGACAAAAUACUGGAAAUCACCCAGUCAGGACAACAGACAGAAAACCAAAUGAAAAAAACAUGAAAGCAAUAUAGGAGAUAUGUGGGAUCAUAUAAAGCAGAUCAAUCUAUGCAUAAUAAGGACUACAGAAGGAGAAGAAAAAUAAAAGGGGAUUGGAAAUACAUUUGAAGAAAUUCUGGCUGAAAAUUUUCUAAAUCUAAAGGAUAUAGAUUUAAGAUACAGGAAGCAUAGAGGACCCCAAACAAGUUGAACCCAAACAGACCCACAAUGACACAUAUUAUAAUAAAAAUGAAAAAAAGUUAAACAUAAAGAGAGGAUUCUUAAGGCAG